AUGCUGCUCGUCUUCAAGCCACGGGGAAUCCACUAUCCCUGUGUUCUCAGAUUUGAUAACGUGACACGCCAGCUUGUGCUUGUGCAGAAAAUCGGCAAAUACGCCAUCUUCGUUGGCCAUCAGAGGUGUCUAGCUGUGGAUUCUGACAAGUUCCCAGGCGUCGAGGAGAACUGCGUCUACUACCCUCAACAUCUGGGUUCAUCCACUUUCAUAUACAAGUGCAACAUCGCGGACAAGAAAGUGGAGAGGAUCUCCGAAUCAGACGAUUUCAUGAGGCGGGACAUGCAGUUUGUCCUAGUGGCCGAGCGUCCUUUCACCAUCAUCCACAUUCUCUCCAGCUACACCAUCAACAUCCCGGAUUCUCAACUCGCCUUGCAACAGAUGCCAUAA
Molecule: ribosomal RNA, 390 nt
Filed under: Triticum aestivum (bread wheat)
Lineage: Eukaryota; Viridiplantae; Streptophyta; Magnoliopsida; Poales; Poaceae
Description: partial small subunit ribosomal RNA
Source: RNAcentral